GAUGAACGCUGGCGGCGUGCCUAAUACAUGCAAGUCGAGCGAACGGACGAGAAGCUUGCUUCUCUGAUGUUAGCGGCGGACGGGUGAGUAACACGUGGAUAACCUACCUAUAAGACUGGGAUAACUUCGGGAAACCGGAGCUAAUACCGGAUGAUAUUUUGAACCGCAUGGUUCAAAAGUGAAAGACGGUCUUGCUGUCACUUAUAGAUGGAUCCGCGCUGCAUUAGCUAGUUGGUAAGGUAACGGCUUACCAAGGCAACGAUGCAUAGCCGACCUGAGGGGGUGAUCGGCCACACUGGACCUGAGACACGGUCCAGACUCCUACGGGGGGCAGCAGUAGGGAAUCUGCCGCAAUGGGCGAAAGCCUGACGGAGCAACGCCGCGUGAGUGAUGAAGGUCUUCGGAUCGUAAAACUCUGUUAUUAGGGAAGAACAUAUGUGUAAGUAACUGUGCACAUCUUGACGGUACCUAAUCAGAAAGCCACGGCUAACUACGU
RNAcentral lists this ribosomal RNA (496 nucleotides) under uncultured bacterium. RNAcentral's name for it is "partial 16S ribosomal RNA". It matches the Rfam family "Bacterial small subunit ribosomal RNA", at positions 28 to 506 of the family's 1533-position model. The record is from RNAcentral.